Molecule: microRNA precursor, 97 nt
Filed under: Patiria miniata (bat star)
Lineage: Eukaryota; Metazoa; Echinodermata; Asteroidea; Valvatida; Asterinidae
Description: microRNA pmi-mir-29a precursor
Gene: pmi-mir-29a
Source: miRBase by way of RNAcentral
UUUGCCAGCCCGAGGCCUGGUUUCAGGUGGUGGAUAGUACCCAGAUUGGAAUGAUCUAAGCACCAGUUGAAAUCAGAGCCUCUGGCGUUGGUCAGUC